GUGAGUCAUCGAAUCUUUGAACGCACCUUGCGCUCUUUGGUAUUCCGAAGAGCAUGCCUGUUUGAGUGUCAUGAAAAUAUCAACCUUGACUUGGGUUUUGUGCUCUAGUCUCGGCUUGGAAUUGGGUGCUUGCCGCUUUUACGAGCGGCUCACCUUAAAUGUAUUAGCUGGAUCUGUCUUUGAGACUUGGUUUGACUUGGCGUAAUAAGUAUUUCGCUAAGGACAUUCUUCGGAGUGGCCUCGUUUCUAGGACGCUUGUCCGCUUUCCAAUACAAGUUCCACCUCGUGGACAUGACUUUUUAUUAUCUGGCCUCAAAUCAGGUAGGACUACCCGCUGAACUUAA
RNAcentral lists this ribosomal RNA (344 nucleotides) under uncultured fungus. RNAcentral's name for it is "eukaryotic LSU rRNA". The stretch from base 1 to 71 matches the Rfam family "5.8S ribosomal RNA", at positions 84 to 154 of the family's 154-position model. The record is from RNAcentral. Lineage: Eukaryota; Fungi.